Long non-coding RNA from Suricata suricatta (meerkat), 1042 nucleotides. RefSeq lists it as uncharacterized. The transcript has 5 exons. Lineage: Eukaryota; Metazoa; Chordata; Mammalia; Carnivora; Herpestidae. The record is from RefSeq and is a predicted model, not a curated record.
CUACGGAGAACCGCUCACUACCCUGGACGGUAGGGACUGUUAUUGCGUCCAUUCCGCAGAGUGGUAAACCGAGCCUCCGAGCCGCGGGGGGCUUCGAACUCGUCUGACUCCCCAGCGCAGGCAGGCCUCUUUAAGUGGACGAUCCUUCUUUAGGCUUCCAGAAAAAGGAAGGAAGCCGCGUGGUCCUGACGCUCCGAAACCCCCGCUUACGUCCCCAGGCUCCUCGGGGAAACUGAGGUAGCACACUUGGAAUGGAGGGGGGCGCUCGGACCCUUGCUUUCCUCAUGGAAACAGCCCCUACGCCCCCGAAGUAGGGCGGGGAGAGGAGGUCAAACUCCUAAAAGCGUGCACCUGCCUCCUGAAACUUGAACUCUGGGCACCACCGGUAUAAAUUUGUGAGGGUAUUUGCUGGGGCUAGUUCCAUUAGGGCGGGACGCGGUUGGAGGCAUCGUGUGUGACCCCAAGACUUGGCAUCUACCACGUCGAGGCUGGGGACCCUGGGGUGUCCCAGUGCCUACCCGCGCCGCCUGACUUCCUGUUGUGGGACGCGCGCCGCGUCGCCAUGGAGACCUCUCAGGGGCCAGGCCCUGCGGUGCUUAGUGAGUGCCCGCUGUGCUAGGAAUCCUUCCAGGUGGCUGGCAACACGGCAGUGAUAAGGAAAGGCAAACAUUUCGCCAUUGUGCAGAGAUGGUUUCAGCGGCGGGGACAGAUAAGAAACAAAUAUACAAUUGAGGUGGGAGCCAUGGAGGGUUCUGAGCAGGGGAGGGACAGCCCCGGCUCGAGUGUUUACAGGCACCCUCCUGAGACGGCAGGAUCCACAUUCCUGGGCCAGGGAGGACAAGAUGGAGGCCAGGAGGCCAGGGAGGAGGUGGCUACUCUAGUCGAGUUUUUAGUCACCAUGCUGGCCAUCGCAGCCCCAGGACCUAGUUACCUUGUAACCAGAAGUUGGUGCCCUUUGACCCCCUUCUCUCCGUUCCCCACCCCCUGCCUGUGGCAGCCACCUGUCGGGUCCCUGCAUUAAAAAAAAUUCACGUGUUUCUUU